UACGGAGGGUGCGAGCGUUGUCCGGAAUCAUUGGGCGUAAAGGGCGCGUAGGUGGCUUCUUAAGCGUGCGGUGAAAGCCUGGGGCUCAACCCCGGGUCGGCCGUGCGAACUGGGCUCACUGGAGCAUAGUAGAGGCAGGUGGAAUUCCGGGUGUAGCGGUGGAAUGCGUAGAGAUCCGGAAGAACACCGGUGGCGAAGGCGGCCUGCUGGGCUAUGGCUGACACUGAGGCGCGACAGCGUGGGGAGCAAACAGG
Molecule: ribosomal RNA, 254 nt
Filed under: uncultured bacterium
Lineage: Bacteria
Description: partial 16S ribosomal RNA
Rfam family: Bacterial small subunit ribosomal RNA
Source: RNAcentral